RNAcentral lists this transfer RNA (35 nucleotides) under Prorocorypha snowi. Its description in RNAcentral is "partial tRNA-Phe". The record is from RNAcentral. Lineage: Eukaryota; Metazoa; Arthropoda; Insecta; Orthoptera; Acrididae.
CAUAACACUGAAGAUGUUAGGGAAAUAUUUUUAUU